AAUGCUUCGAAGGCCAAGCCAAGGCCAGGGCUAAGCUUCAAGUCCAUGAAAUUCAGGCAAUUAACUGCAUUUUGAACUGAAACUAUAGGAGAACAGACAAAUUAUGGAACUGUCAGGAGAUAGUUAACGGUACAAAUUUGUAUUGAUAUAUGGCCAAAAUCAAAGAAGGGUGUUGGUAACCAACAAGUCAGAGGAGACCUCAAAACGGGAGCUGCUUAGGGUGGUGUGCACAACAUUUGGAGUGAAAGAAGAAUAUAUUUUUCCUGCAGACAUGGCAAGACAAAUUCAACGAUUUUGCAGACAUGGAAGAGGACGAACUUGUGUCAGGGCCAUUGAGAGUAAGAAUUACAAACUACCUGUGGUCCUCGGUGCACAGCAACUGGUGAAUGGUGGAGAGCACAUAGAGUGGAUGAGCACUGAAAAAAAGGCAGCCAGACUUCAAGAGAGUUGAGUUCUGCAUGCAGAAGACACUGGCAGACAGAAGGGCAUGGAUCAUAAAUUUUGUCCCUCGGCCAAGGAUCACUGAUGACCGACUGAAGUAUCCUUGGCUCUUUGAUGAGGAUCAGGUAAUCUAUGCAGAGUUUUCUCACCAGAUUUUGAAAUAUACUGAAUAUCCCGAGAUUGAUUGAAUGCUGACGGACGUUGAUAGAGUUGCUUACUCAAUGUUUCCCUAUUACAGUGAUUUACAGAAUUUAUUGGAAACUUCUAACUCCACAUGGAUUAUCCAAACUUGCUCAUAAACUUAAUUUAUUCAAGACUGCGUAAGGUAUGAACUUCAUAUGUGGUCCUUGUAUGAAAAAAAUUCAGGUUAUUUUCUUGUCAAAGCAAUAUCACCUAAACAGCUUGAGGUAUGGAUGUAAAAACUUGGUGUUUAACAUGUACCAUCAUAGGAAGACGAUUUGAAUGGAUUUUGGAAUAUGUAGGUCAAAGGUCAAUUUGUGAAAUUUAUUUGUUUAAACACAUAGUCACCUUAACAGUUUGAAAUAUAGAUGUGAAACGUGGUGCUAACAUGUACCACUAUAGGAGAUGAUCUGGAUAUAUUUUGGAAUAUGUAGCUCGAAAGUAAAUUUGUGAAAUUCAGGUAAUAUCUUUAUUAAUGCAAUGUCACCUUAACAGUAUGAAAUAUGGAUGUAAAACCUGCUACCAUGUAUCACUGGGAAGAGGAUGCAUUGAGUAGUGUAUGUUUCAUUGACUGUUUUUGAAAAUUUGACUCAAUGUCUCUAAUCUUCAAAUUAAAGGUCUAGUCCACCCCAGGAAAAUGCUGAUUUGAAUAAAUAGAGAAAAAUCAAACUAGCAUGAAAUUUUAAAGUUUCGCUUAUUUUCAACAAAACAGUGAUAUGCACAACUAGGUGAGCCAAUGAUGUCACUCACUAUUUCUUUUGUUUUUUAUUGUUUGAAUUAUACAAUAUUUCAAUUUUUACGAAUUUGAUGAUUAGGACCUCCUUGCCUGAAGCACAAAAUGUUAAAAUAAUUAAAUUCCACGUGUUCAGGGACGAAUGAAACUUCAUUUCACAUGACAAUGACGAGAAAAUCAAAAUAUUUCAUACUUCAUAUAAUAAAAUACAAAAGAAAUAGUGGGUGAGUGAUAUCAUCAGUUCCCUCAUUUGCAUACCGACUGAGGUGUGCAUAUAAGCGUUUUGUGAAAUGAAGCAAAACUUUAAAAUGUCAUAACUUUCUUAUUUUACAUCCGAUUUUGAUGAAAUUUUCAGUGUUAUGCUUGUUGACUUUUUCUCUUUUUAUUCAAAUCAAGGU
This is a long non-coding RNA of Lytechinus pictus (painted urchin), 1752 nucleotides long. RefSeq lists it as uncharacterized. The record is from RefSeq and is a predicted model, not a curated record. NCBI's taxonomy places the organism in Eukaryota, Metazoa, Echinodermata, Echinoidea, Temnopleuroida, Toxopneustidae. The transcript is spliced from 3 exons.